AAUUGCUGAUCAAACCAAAAAUAUGAAAAAAAAAAAAAAAAACAAGCUGGACAUUGUCGCGCCCUCGAAUCUUUGGAUCGCCUGGAGUCAACCAAGUAAAAGGAGAAGAUCUUCGAUUCACACCACAAUCCCCCAGCCCCAGUUCUUCGGAGGAAUUGUCUACUGCGCUCCGAUUUACUUCCGAUUACAUUUCCUCGUAUUAAAUUGUUACAAUUUGCCGCUAACAAUAUGCCUUACGAAUUUGUGUUGUCAACAAUGGGAACAGAACACCCAGAUGCAUUGUGGCCAAGUGACAAAUGGGGUUUGGUCUCUUUUCGGUAAGAUCUAGCGAUCAAAACACACAACACAAAUAGGAGAAAAAAGGGCCAAAUGGAGGAGGGUUGGGCUGCCGAAAGAAUUGCAUUAUCGUUUGUUUGGUGACUCCGUGUGCGCACUGCGCACCAUGGGAUGUCGAUGUCGAUGCCCAUGCCGACGUGGAACAGUGUCCUUGCUGCGGCUGAUAAUGUCAUUACCUGGGCGCAGACGACGCAAACGCAAGAGCAAAUGAAAGCCAAGCCUGCCGUGCCCUGGUCACCGCAUGACGUCACCAGGGCCUGUGUGUGCGUUUUUUGUUUUUGUUUUUUGGGUCGCGUCGCAAACAUAAAGCGACAAAUUGACGCAAAACAUUUAACACACGGACAGGGCAGGACAGGACCCCGGACAUGGUCAAACAUGGUCCAUUGCCUUCGGUGGAGGAGGUGGGGAGCAAAAGCAACAACUGCAACGUUGGCGGCUUCCUCUCUAUGAGGCAUGGCCCGGCAUGGAAAAAAUUCCUUUGAAUUACGUCCGUUGCAGCAGCACCGCCACCACAUCGCACCGCACACACAUGUGUGUGUGUGUGUGUCAGCUCUUGGCAAUGCGCAAAAAAGGACAUCUCCGCCGGCGGUGGUGCCGGCUUGUAGCCUGCAUCCGUGUUGGUGGCCAAGCGGCAUCGGGCAACGGAGCGGUGAGGCAUUGUAUGCCACUCUAUUAUGCAUUUCGUAGCUCGUACUGGCUCCGCCGUGUUGACACUUUUAUUCCAAACAGUUGAGCAAUAUUUAUAAACUGAAGUCUGGCAGCGGCAGGAGCGUGGAAUGCAAAAGAGAGAGUUGCAGGCGCCUGGAGAGGAGUGGCAGUGGAAGCGGCUUGUACGCCCGCAGGAGUGAACUGGACUCCUAAGUGCACAUUCUUUUGCAGCUCAUGAAAUCUUCCAUUUGAUUAACAUUUGUUUUUGCUCUUGCUUGCAGGCCAUGGCCAAGCGGCUAAGCUCAUUUCAUGGAUGGGGAUGGAUGGGAUUUGUUUGUUGUUUCUGGCACAGCGGCACAGGCAAAAACAACACCUUGAAGCCCUGCGCAACCACUGACCGGCCAACGGAUCAUCUAAUUGAAUGACAAUAUUAUGCCAAGGCCUAAUUCAAUUUGCAUUCAGCCGGAGGGCAGCCGCAACGCAACGCAACGCGAAAACAGUAGCUUAAAUCUUAAACAAACACAGCAAUUACAGCAGAACGGAUGCACUUGCUGCUUGGACCUCUGCCUGCACCUCUACUGCUGCUGGGUUUUUCGUCUAGCCAAAUGACUGCGACGAGGACUCUCCUCUCUCCCUGGGACCCUGUAAUUAGUCCUGGGAUGAAACGAGAUGAGAAACGAGAGGAUGAGGUAUACGCCUCGGCCCUCUGACCUUUGUCGGCCUCAUCGGGGGUCCGGUUGCGCUGCCUAAUUACAGGGUAAUCAGGCUUUCAGCCGCUUUGGCUUUGGCGCUACCGUUUUGUGGGGGGCCUCAGCUAGAUGAUGAUUGAUUAGUGGCAUGGCGUGGCAUGGCCAUUCCCUAAGCUUAAGACUGUAAGAAUCCACCUCUCAUCAGUGGCGUGGAUUGACAUCUGCCAGCAAAGUGCAUGGAAGGGAGCGCGUGCCAGCGGCGGCAACAAAGCAGCAAAAAGAAUGGAAAUGGAAAAAGUGCAAACAAGCAGCUGAAAGGCCAAAAGAGAGGAGCACUGAAAUGGAUAUGGAAAACAGCGAUAAGCGACAGAGAAAGCAAAUCGAAAACUGAUUUGGAGCGGAAGUUCGUUUGCACCUUUCCCAGCAGCAGCAGCAGCGGCAGCGGCAGCAGUUUCCUGUAUUUGCGAUGUCAAGAACAAUAAGAACACACACAACACACAGCGAAAAAGAGGGAGUACGAGUGCGAGUACGAGUACGCACUGCCAAGACGUUAAGAAAUAAUCCAUGAAUCAGUGGAAAAUGUUCCAUCGGUACGUUCCACCUUGACGUUUUGGCCUUUGACGCCGUCUUUUGUCUUGAGAAUUGGAGUGCACACACAGUCACCGCCCGUUGGCUUUUGUAUUGCAAAAUCAAAAGCUAUAUGCGACUCCAUUGCAUUGCCAUAUAUAGAUUAAGGAUAUGCUUUGCCUUGCCUUGCCUUACGUGUGUGUAUGCAAAGGAGCAAGGAGCAGCUGUCGUCUCCUUCUGUAUUUGAUUUGCGAUUUCUGAGGCAAGCGGAAAUGGAAUGACACGCGAGGCACUCCAGCACAGUCACUCCUUCUCACAUUGUUUGGCAGCAGAUUGGCAAAAAUGGAGGCAAACAAACCUAACAGAGAGCCAAACGAGCGAGCGAGGAGGCUUCCUUCCUUCCACUCGAGCCAUACGCAUUGUUUGGCUGCGCUGUUCGAACUAGCGCGUACCUUUGAAGGGGCGUGCCGCCAAAUGGAGGAAGCAUAUGCCUGGAAAUCGGAUAUUGCUCUAAACAAUCCACAAAACACAACAAAAAACACAAACCAAACACAUUGCUAGACCCAAAAGCAGAGUUUUCCAACCCACUGAGCAGCCGCAAUCUGACGAUUUCAGCUGCCACUGCCACUGCCACUGCCAUGGAGUGGGAGUAGGAGUGAAAGAGUAGGUGUAAACCUGAGCAACGCGUGUCCUAGGCUUAGAGAGGAGGACGGCCACAGCUACGACCGUGGACUGAUGUCUCAUUAGCGUAUGGAUCGGGUCACAGGUUAAUGAUGUGCGCACCCCGUGCCUGCGCUUCCGCCUUGGACGCAACACAAUUAUUCGAGGCACUUGAGCGAAGAACGAGGAAUGCAACAGCAGCAGCAGCAGCAGUGGCAGUGGCACCUCCACUGUAACUUCUUCUAAUUCAUUGACCCCUCGGCGAACCUCUGAAGCUGCUCCGCUCGGGGUUUUUCGGUGUUUUUUUAUGACGCUGUCGUAAAUGUCACAGGGGUUGCAGGUUGAGCGAGAGAAGAACAAAUGAAACUUAAUUUGAUUUCAAACCCCCCCAGGGAGAGCGUGUUCUCCUCACAGAGCGGAUUUCGAACCCACAGACAGACACACGAAAAGCGAAACGCAAAAUUCGAUUUCCUGAAAAUGUUUUGAAGAUAAAUUGUCGUCGGUUAUGUGGCCGGGGAUUACAUAAAGUCUCGCAUUCGCGGACAAACACCUGCAGCCUGGAUGGACGCAGCUGGGCGAACGGAAGAGCCGCACGGGACGGGACUCACGUGCAAAAAUAAAAUGCAAAAAUGAUCAUUUCGAGAUAUGCGAAACGGGACAUGAACGCCGCUACGCCACGCCACGCCGCAGGAUACCAAACAGUGGAGGAAAUGCCGUCUACAUGGUCGUUCAUCCUCUCCUUUUUUUGGCUUGAAUUUCGUGACGAUAGCAAAAAAUAUUGCAUUGAGCGGCAAUGGGCAGGCGUGGAUGUGGAGGAGGCUCCUGGGGUUCUGGUCCAUUUCGGGUGCACGUCGUUAUCCUUGCCCCCGGAUGCACAACAAUCAAAAUAAACGGCUGCCAAAUUGACCAUUGACCAAACAACGUCAGCAAGAGGAGGCCAAAAGGAGAGCAGAAAUGGCACGAUGAAGGAGUAGGGCCCAAUGCCCCAAUGGAGGAGUAGAGCCCAAUGGCCCGAUGUAGCAGCAGAAGCAGAGCGGCAAGCACCAAUGUCAAUAGCGGAGGCGAGAGGACAGCUGAAUGCCGAGUGGAGAAGCAAGCGAACUCAAUGUCCGCUGGAGCAGCAUCUGCAGCAGCAGCAGAAGGACGAAAACUCACUGCCGAAUGCUGAAGGAUGUGUGUGGGAGUGGAAACUCGUACGCGAAUUGGACAAGCGACAUCAUCUUUGCCACUGUCACGUCCACUCCAGCGACAACUCACGGUCCAAGCAGCCAUCAAAGUUGUUUUUGGCAUCCGCCAAAGAAGAGAAUCCAAUUGCUGGAAACGUCAAAGCGAUUAAACGCGCGAGCUGCAGUCGUUUUCUGCGGAUUAUUUCGACUGUUCAAGGACCUAAAGGUGCAGCAGGGAAAGGCAGAGAACUGAGAGGGAUUCAGAAUAAUCUAGAUCAUCGCUUUCCCCCCAUCCAACAGCUCUCUUUCAUAAUUAACCAGAAAUGUUUGCCACUCGCGCGCGUCUGCCUCCAACCCCAACCCCAGCACAUCGAUUUGCGCGAUUUUAUUGCAGAAUAAUGAAAUCGCCAAGAGAUUCCAAUUCAAUCUACGCGCCGCGUAGGCCAUUUAUGGAUUGGCAUUGAUUUAAUACCGCAUCGUCUGCGUCUGCUUCGUCGUAGCGGCCGUCGCCAUCUCUUGGCGAUCGCCUCCAGGUUUUGCUGCCAGGCGUCCCCUGAGCCCAAGGCGCAAGGCAUUUUGCACCUACCAAACAGAAGUAGAAGGAGCAGCCAGCAGCGGACUCCAAAGUCCGAAUCUGAUCUGAUUCUCGCCGCCUAUCGAAGCUGGAGAUCAACAGAAAGGAGCAGCAGCAGACGCCACCGCGGCGGAGGAUGGAUGGAGCUCCACUCGCGAAUGUUUAUUCAAUAAACUCGAUCUUCGAUGUGGCAGCAGCAGCAGCAGCAGCAGCAGCAGCUGGGCUGACUGACUGUGCAUUCCAGCACAGAGGAGAACCACUCUCGACACAACUGUGGACUGUGGCCCCCAUUCAAGACAAGCCGCUGGAAUUUCUUGGUGCGUGCUCGGCACAGGUUCGGUCUCGGGUUCAGUUCAGGUUCAGGUUCAGCUGGUUAGCUUUGGCGUCUGCCAGCUGCGUCUCCUGAUUAUGAUAAUGGGGAGAGACCAGGCCAGGCCAGGCCAGGCCAUUCCGUACCGGGGGCCGGGUAUAUGAUCGAAUGAUCGAAUGCUUGGCAGCUCCGUUGACUUUCUGAUUAAUGCAAGAAUGCUCCUUGGCGGCGUUCUUGCUUUUUGCUGACUGAUUCUUUCCGACUGCAAUUAAAAGUGUUGUUUACCCUUUAGCCAGGGACAAGGACGUGGCAUGGCAUCAAUGAGACGCUGACAAGAGGCUUCAAUGAAGGUCAAAGAGGAGGAAUUACUUGGCCCAAAGAGCAUCCCAAAGUCGUUGUGGUAGUGACCAGCAGACGCAUCAGAUUGAUUCUUGACCGGCUGCCGGUAGUCUCCUGCUGUGUGCCUGAUGCCAGAUGCGGCCCCGUCCAGCCAGUCGCGGCAGCGGCAGUCGCCUCGUGCCUACCAGUUGUCAUAACGUUCAACACAUAUCUGCUGGCCCCUCGGUGGCGUCGUCGCCUGCGUCUUCGUCCGCGCCAUCACUGUGGUCAUCGUCGGUGUGGUGCCCAGGGCUCUCUGCGCUGCCAUAAAAGGAUUUGUCACGUGCGAGCUUUUGUUAAAAAUGCAACAAUCAUCAUCAGCGGAGGGCAAUCUCCAUUGCAACAGCAGCAGGAGCAGGAGGAGCAGCAGGAACAGAGUCUCCCUGCAUUAUGCAUGUCGCAUUGCCAGGGCAGACAUCGUUCGGAGCAUUCCUUCGCUUGAAGGCAGGUCCUGGUCCAUAUGGCCAACGCCAGUCCCCCCACCAUCCACAGCAGAUCAUUGAAAUUUAUAAUUAAGUGGAAAUAUGUUGUCUACGAAGUAAAGAUUGCAACAAGGAUCUUCAGAUUGAUGCUAAAGAUAUGAAUGCCACAGACAAAGGGCAGCAGCAGCAGCAGCAACAGCCGAGGAGUGGGUCCCACAAUUGGAAUAACAAAUGCAUUAGCAGUGACCAAACAAGGACCUAAUAAUAUACUCACAGGGGAUGUGCAUUGUGUAAAGAAUGGGCGCACCAUGGUACGAGCUCAUCCACAAUUACCGUUAGACUGCAGCGCACACAGAGAGAGAGAGAGAGAGAGAGACGAGGCAGAGAACACAAAGAUAGAAGGCAAAUAAAGACAUUGUCCUGCUCCUGCUGUUGCUGUUGCUGCUGCUCCUGCUGCUGAUGGCCAUGGCUAAUUCAUGACUUUGAGGACACUUUGGGCAAACAAUUGUCCAAAGACGACGAAGAAGAAGCAGGAGCCACACUCAGGAAUUGAUUAUGCAUGGAGUGUGUGUGUCUUUCUGUCUAUCUGUAUGUCCUCAUGUGUGCAUGCCAAUCAACUGGAGAAUCAAUCAAAAUGCAAUAGUACGUACGAUUGCCAAUCAAAGCUAAAUCCAAGGAAGAAGUCACUCCUGCAGAGGUGGCAAGCAGCUGCAGUCCAGCUUAAAAUGGAUAGCCAGGACCCACUCGGACUCUACGUUCUUUUUCGGACAAGGGCAGCCAACCAAUGUAAGUAAGAACCACAUCAGGACAAACAGCAGGAGCAGCAGCAGCGCCACAGACACACGACGACGACCAGGCAAACAAUCAAAUGUCCAGCCAGGCGUGACGCUCGGCCCUGAAGGAGCAGCAGAGCCAGUGGCAGAGGCAGAGCCAGCGACAGCGUCUAUUUGCCGAGCGUACUUUUUGCAUUUGCCAAACAAGAGUGUGUGGUGUGCUGUGCUGUGGUGUGCCCUGGUGGUGCCCUUCCUUUUGCACUCUGUUUGAACACGAGCCCAUACCGAGUGUGCCGAGGUCCGAGGCAGUGCACAUACUUUGCACCUGUGUUUGCACUUAAAUCGAGUUUGAGGCCCAACACAUGGCCGUAAAUCGUAGAUGGAGGAGGAGCACUCACCACAUUCACAAAGUCCUGGAACGUUACAUAGCCCGGACCAGUGGGCACUUGGGCCUUCUUAGCGCGCUCCAGCAACAGCUCCCGCUUGUUCAUAGGCACUUGGGAUAGAAACUCCGGCGAUGUGAGGGCCGAUAGGAAUUCUGUGACGCAGAUUUCACCAAAACCUUCAGGAUCGAACUGGAAAUUAAAAGAGAAUUUUAGUUAACAAUAGAUCUUGAGGUGGCGAGUGCUUGUAAUUACCAUAUCAAAGAGGAGUUUCCAUUUCUGUGGGGUUUAAAAGAGAUAUUCUAGGAUUAGCAAAGGGUUUAGGUUAUAGUUCCCAUAAGAACUCACAUCUCUCAGCAAUUCCCUGCGCAGUUCAGCCUCAUCAAAGUCAGAGUUUAGGGAGGCACUUACAUAUCUCAUUUGUGUAUGCGAUAUGGAUCCAAUGGAGGCCAGGGAGCCAGCUAUGGUGGAUAUAUGCUCGAUAUCGGCCAG
Long non-coding RNA from Drosophila subobscura, 7398 nucleotides. RefSeq lists it as uncharacterized. The transcript has 6 exons. NCBI's taxonomy places the organism in Eukaryota, Metazoa, Arthropoda, Insecta, Diptera, Drosophilidae. The record is from RefSeq and is a predicted model, not a curated record.